UCUCACAUGCUAUCAUCCCUUGAACUUAAUCUUAGUCCAAAUCCUUGGUUAACCCCCUUAAGACCUCUCAAGCCAGGCUUUAAGAUCUCUAAGAUCAAACCCGACCCUAGCCCCAAAUAGAAAACCUAUACAGUUCUACUCACGUAACUGCGUUGGCUCAGUCUCAGAUUGAGCUGGCUCAAUUACUGUGAUUGGGCUAGCUCAGUCUGAAACUGAGUCAGCUCAGUUUGCGUGCCAACCUCAGAUUUUCAAAAUCUGCUUUUUUGUUUGACCCUUCCUCUGAGACAUGAUCGAUCUAGUCUCGGUCUGAGUCGAUCCAGAUCUUUGAAACUGCUUCUUCUCUAUAGUCUUCAGUCUUCUCUGAUUCUUUACUCCACUUUGUGUCUCCAGGUCUGCUGCUGCAGUAACCAAUCCUCUCAAGAUUCUUAACAUCUAGACCUCAAGCCUGUGGAUGCCUCCACCCUAGGACCACUCCUAUCCUAGCCCUAAGACCCACCUAUCCUAGUCUCCCAGAGC
RNAcentral lists this long non-coding RNA (516 nucleotides) under Elaeis guineensis (African oil palm). RNAcentral's name for it is "long non-coding RNA (EGUI_LNC080956)". The record is from RNAcentral. Lineage: Eukaryota; Viridiplantae; Streptophyta; Magnoliopsida; Arecales; Arecaceae.